This 1210-nucleotide long non-coding RNA is filed under the name Anas platyrhynchos platyrhynchos (common mallard). RNAcentral describes it as "lncRNA (ENSAPLG00000021219.1)". Lineage: Eukaryota; Metazoa; Chordata; Aves; Anseriformes; Anatidae. The record is from RNAcentral.
CCACACACUCCGAGAGAGCCUGGGCAGACAGGCGAGAGAAAACAGAGGGGCCCCGAGCACAUACGUGUAACACACACACACUGAUGCGCCGGUUUCCACGGAGGGAAGGAAAUUCAGGGCACGGGAGCCAGAGCACGGCGAGUGUGCAAAACACAUCCACACCAAACGAGGAAGCCAUUUUUCUACUUUUAUUCCCACAAAUUAGCCCGGUUGUAGAGUUUGGCCGGAGGCUGUGCGCCUGAAACCAGCUUCUUCGGGCACUUUUGCCCGCAAUCGGCUCUUUGCAUCCUUGCGCUCCCAGGAGCCCGGCUGCGGGGCGCGGGCAGAGGGGUGGGCAGCCGCGGGUUGAGAGCCUCAAAAGGAAGGGAAGACUCUUCUUGUUAACCCCAGAGAACACAGCUGCUGGAAAAACCUGCUAAGCAAACCUUCGGUGAAACCACGGCUUUGCUGUCUGCUCUGAAUUCCUGGGAGUUUCGGGCUCUCCGGCAGAAUUUGCGAUUUGACUCGAAACGCAGCCCGGUGCCCUGUUCCCUUUGAUGCUUUAUCUCGCGAUUUCCACAGUGCUCAAGUGAAUUAGGAGCUAAAAGCCCAUUUUGAAAAAGUGAGGGGAGGCUAAAUUCAGCGAGAGAGUUGGGCAGAGCAGUAGCAGCCUCCUGCUGCUCAGGAUUGUGCCUGGGAACACAGCCCUCAGCCAGCAGAAGCAAAGCAGGGAGCUGCCGAGCCUUGCCCAUUGUAAAGGCCGGUCGGGGGGGGAGGGGGGGCAACCUGCUCUCAGCUCCUCACCAGCUUAAAGCCAGGUUCAUCAUUUGACCUGCGUCCCCUCACAUCAGCCGUUCCUCCCAAAGGGCUGGAAACUGAAAGGUGUGCUGAGCAAAGCGGCCAGACACCCACAGAAGAAGGGGCGCUGACCCCCUGGUGCCUCUCCGUUUCAGACACGGAGGUGGCCAGAGACAGCAAGAAAAAGCGGCCGCCUAAAGAGCCUCGUGGUCAGGACACUCCUCGGAGCCGCAGGGCAAUCCAAAUUAAAUCCAGCAGAGCAGUGACUGGGAAAGAUCUUUUAUUGCUUGAAGCUGGCCCUGCUUCCCACCCAGCCAGGAUCAGAGGGAGAACAGGAAGGGGAGCUACUUGGAGUCGGUCCCCCUCGGGACACCAGGAAUGUGCAGCAAAGCCACCGUGCAAAGCUCCCCAUUUCAUCUCUGGGCACUGCUGA